Molecule: ribosomal RNA, 828 nt
Filed under: Psora decipiens
Lineage: Eukaryota; Fungi; Ascomycota; Lecanoromycetes; Lecanorales; Psoraceae
Description: LSU rRNA
Rfam family: Eukaryotic large subunit ribosomal RNA
Source: RNAcentral
GAAGCGGCAACAGCUCAAAUUUGAAGAUCUGACCUUUGGGGUCCGAGUUGUAAUUUGCAGAGGGUGUUUCGGGCACGGUGCCGGUUUAAGUCCUUUGGAACAGGGUGUCAUAGAGGGUGAGAACCCCGUAUGUGACCGGUCGCCAAACCCAUGUGAAACCCCUUCGACGAGUCGAGUUGUUUGGGAAUGCAGCUCAAAAUGGGUGGUAAAUUUCAUCUAAAGCUAAAUAUUGGCCAGAGACCGAUAGCGCACAAGUAGAGUGAUCGAAAGAUGAAAAGCACUUUGGAAAGAGAGUCAAACAGCACGUGAAAUUGUUGAAAGGGAAGCGCUUGCGACCAGACCUGCUCGCGGGUGAUCAGCGGUGCUUUUCGCGCCGUGCACUCAUCCGCGAUCAGGCCAGCAUCGGUUCAGGCGGCCGGACAAAGACUUGGAGAAUGUAGCUCCCUCCGGGGAGUGUUAUAUCUCCUUGUGCAAUACGGCCAGCCGGGACCGAGGACCGCGCUUCGGCUAGGAUGCUGGCGUAAUGGUCGUAAGCGACCCGUCUUGAAACACGGACCAAGGAGUCUAACAUCUGUGCGAGUGUUUGGGCGUUAAACCCAUGCGCGCAAUGAAAGUGAACGUGAGGUGGGAACCCUCUCGGGGGCGCACCAUCGACCGAUCCAGAUGUCUUCGGAUGGAUUUGAGUAAGAGCACAGCUGUUGGGACCCGAAAGAUGGUGAACUAUGCCUGAAUAGGGUGAAGCCAGAGGAAACUCUGGUGGAGGCUCGCAGCGGUUCUGACGUGCAAAUCGAUCGUCAAAUUUGGGUAUAGGGGCGAAAGACUAAUCGA